This is an RNA transcript of Gossypium raimondii (Peruvian cotton), 1409 nucleotides long. RefSeq lists it as uncharacterized. The record is from RefSeq and is a predicted model, not a curated record. The transcript is spliced from 4 exons. Lineage: Eukaryota; Viridiplantae; Streptophyta; Magnoliopsida; Malvales; Malvaceae.
UUCAGCUCAACUCUGUUCUUUCUUCUCUUCAUUUAUUUCACUUUCCCUCAAUCCAAACACUAAACCUCUCUUUCUUCUCCUUCUACUUUUCCUUCCACACAAUCUUCACAAAUAAAACAAAAUUGAGAGGUGAAGUAAAAUAAACAUGGCGGACAUACAGCAAGCAGACGGAGUGGAAGGGCCAUUGCCGGUAGCUUCAUCUGAGACGGUUGGAUCGAAACGCCAGAGACGUCCAAGCGUUCGGUUAGGCGACAUCGGCGGUGAGCAACCUUACGAUUCUCAUGUAAGAAGACCCUCCUCUUCUUCCAAGCAAUGGAAACACCACUCCAACAACCUUUCCUUAAAUCCCUCACUCGCCUCUCCCAAUUUUAAAUCUUCCAAAACUCGCGCCCUUACCAACCUCACUACUGAUUUCAACGCCACCAACGACACCCUCGAUGACCAUACUGAAGCUCAGAACAAUUUAGAUGGCGUUUCAAUUGGUAGCUGGGGAGUCAAAGAUUCCACGAAACGAGGCCCCGCCACGAAACGGCCUCGGUCCAAUUGGGUUCCCAAAAUCGAUGAUGCCAAUGGCAACAAUAACAACAGUCAUGUGGAAACAGAGGACAAAUACAGUGGCAGCAAAGAUAACGAAAAUUUCGACAUGGAGAACUCGGAAAGUCCCAUGAAAGAGCAGAGUCCAAUUCAUUCAUUGGAUAAUUUGGGUAUCGACGGCAACGAAAGGGAAGUUCUUUACCCUGGAAAUAACCAAAGAUGUCCGAUUCGGACCCGGGUUUUCGAUGGGGUCGAUUUAUCUGCUCCGUCUUGUGAGGAAGAUGGGGUUAGUAUAUGGUUGAAUAGUUUGGGUUUAGGAAGAUAUGCCCCGGUUUUUGAGAUCCAUGAAGUGGAUGAUGAAGUUUUGCCAUUGUUGACAUUGGAAGAUUUGAAGGAUAUGGGAAUAAAUGCAGUUGGUUCAAGAAGGAAACUGUUCUGCGCAAUCCAGAAACUCAGUAAAGGCUUUUCAUGACAUUUAUCACCCAUUGCAAUUGCAUUGUUCUUAUAUGGUGCUUUUGUUAAGUGAUAGUAUGGACAAGACUGGAGUCAUUUCAGGCUUCAGCAUUUCAUAUACUACUUGACAUAUUGUUUGCAGUUCUUAGAGUCCGAUACAUUACUUAAGGUAUUACUGAAAAGAAUCCUUGGGGUGAGAAGAAACGUAGAAACUCUUUAAGGAAAACCCAAUUUUGUUUUCUGAAAUGUCUUUCCUGUUAGAUUCUUGUUUGAUUUGUGUGAAUGGACUUAUCCACUUCCUGUCAAGUGUAAACCAGUCAGGUUUACUUGACCUUCAUUCAAAGGCAAAGCCAGUUUUGGUGCCUGUUUUAGGAGCUUACGCAUGAUGCAUGAAUGGUUUUUCAAUUAUAUUGCUUUUAUGA